RNAcentral lists this ribosomal RNA (633 nucleotides) under Curtobacterium sp. Ri2Pt_3986. RNAcentral describes it as "bacterial SSU rRNA". It matches the Rfam family "Bacterial small subunit ribosomal RNA", at positions 382 to 1025 of the family's 1533-position model. Lineage: Bacteria; Bacillati; Actinomycetota; Actinomycetes; Micrococcales; Microbacteriaceae. The record is from RNAcentral.
CCUGAUGCAGCAACGCCGCGUGAGGGAUGACGGCCUUCGGGUUGUAAACCUCUUUUAGUAGGGAAGAAGCGUAAGUGACGGUACCUGCAGAAAAAGCACCGGCUAACUACGUGCCAGCAGCCGCGGUAAUACGUAGGGUGCAAGCGUUGUCCGGAAUUAUUGGGCGUAAAGAGCUCGUAGGCGGUUUGUCGCGUCUGCUGUGAAAUCCCGAGGCUCAACCUCGGGCUUGCAGUGGGUACGGGCAGACUAGAGUGCGGUAGGGGAGAUUGGAAUUCCUGGUGUAGCGGUGGAAUGCGCAGAUAUCAGGAGGAACACCGAUGGCGAAGGCAGAUCUCUGGGCCGUAACUGACGCUGAGGAGCGAAAGCAUGGGGAGCGAACAGGAUUAGAUACCCUGGUAGUCCAUGCCGUAAACGUUGGGCGCUAGAUGUAGGGACCUUUCCACGGUUUCUGUGUCGUAGCUAACGCAUUAAGCGCCCCGCCUGGGGAGUACGGCCGCAAGGCUAAAACUCAAAGGAAUUGACGGGGGCCCGCACAAGCGGCGGAGCAUGCGGAUUAAUUCGAUGCAACGCGAAGAACCUUACCAAGGCUUGACAUACACCGGAAACUUCCAGAGAUGGUUGCCCCCUUGUGGU